GAAGCCCGCCAGGCCGCCGCUGGUGCAAUCUGAAAAGACGACGCUUGCGUCGGGCCGAAAGGCCGCACUGGAGGAACGUCCGGACUGCACAGGGCAGCGUAGGAGCUAACGGCUCUCCACCGCGAGGUGAGGAUCAGAGCAACAGAGACGAGUCCCGGGGGAGUGCCGCAAGGUAGACCACCGGGGGUGAAACGGGCAAUCUCUACGCGCAGCAAUACCAAAUAGGCCAGCCACGCAAGCAGGGCAACCUCUUGCGACCUUGUGGCUCCGCAAGGAGAGCUGGCGGGUAGGUAGCACCGAGCCGUCUGGCGACAGACGGCCCAGAGGAAUGGCGGUCACACCGGGGGCGACCCCGGUGCACAGAAUCCGGCGUAUCGGCGGGCUUCACAC
This 390-nucleotide RNase P RNA is filed under the name Pseudorhodoferax sp. Leaf274. RNAcentral's name for it is "Bacterial RNase P class A". It matches the Rfam family "Bacterial RNase P class A". Rfam says of the family: Ribonuclease P (RNase P) is a ubiquitous endoribonuclease, found in archaea, bacteria and eukarya as well as chloroplasts and mitochondria. Its best characterised activity is the generation of mature 5'-ends of tRNAs by cleaving the 5'-leader elements of precursor-tRNAs. Cellular RNase Ps are ribonucleoproteins. The record is from Rfam by way of RNAcentral. Lineage: Bacteria; Pseudomonadati; Pseudomonadota; Betaproteobacteria; Burkholderiales; Comamonadaceae.